GUGAGGAAUAUUGGUCAAUGGGUGCAAACCUGAACCAGCCAAGCCGCGUGAAGGAUGAAGGCUCUAGUAGUCGUAAACUUCUUUUAUGGGGGAAUAAUAGCUUGUACGUGUACAGGUAUGAAUGUACUCCAUGAAUAAGCAUCGGCUAACUCCGUGCCAGCAGCCGCGGUAAUACGGAGGAUGCAGGCGUUAUCCGGAUUUAUUAGGUUUAAAGGGUGUGUAGGCGGAUUGCUAAGUCAGUGGUGAAAUCUCCCGGCUUAACCGGGAAACUGCCAUAGAUACUGGUAGUCUUGAAUAUAGUUGAGGUAGGCGGAAUGUGUCAUGUAGCGGUGAAAUGCUUAGAUAUGACACAGAACACCGAUUGCGUAGGCAGCUUACUAAACUAUUAUUGACGCUGAGGCACGAAAGCGUGGGGAGCGAACAGGAUUAGAAACCCCAGUAGUCC
RNAcentral lists this ribosomal RNA (445 nucleotides) under uncultured bacterium. RNAcentral's name for it is "bacterial SSU rRNA". It matches the Rfam family "Bacterial small subunit ribosomal RNA", at positions 354 to 796 of the family's 1533-position model. The record is from RNAcentral.